RNAcentral lists this ribosomal RNA (611 nucleotides) under Wolbachia endosymbiont of Bemisia tabaci. RNAcentral describes it as "bacterial SSU rRNA". It matches the Rfam family "Bacterial small subunit ribosomal RNA", at positions 219 to 844 of the family's 1533-position model. The record is from RNAcentral. Lineage: Bacteria; Pseudomonadati; Pseudomonadota; Alphaproteobacteria; Rickettsiales; Anaplasmataceae.
UAUUAGAUGAGCCUAUAUUAGAUUAGCUAGUUGGUGGAGUAAUAGCCUACCAAGGCAAUGAUCUAUAGCUGAUCUGAGAGGAUGAUCAGCCACACUGGAACUGAGAUACGGUCCAGACUCCUACGGGAGGCAGCAGUGGGGAAUAUUGGACAAUGGGCGAAAGCCUGAUCCAGCCAUGCCGCAUGAGUGAAGAAGGCCUUUGGGUUGUAAAGCUCUUUUAGUGAGGAAGAUAAUGACGGUACUCACAGAAGAAGUCCUGGCUAACUCCGUGCCAGCAGCCGCGGUAAUACGGAGAGGGCUAGCGUUAUUCGGAAUUAUUGGGCGUAAAGGGCGCGUAGGCUGAUUAAUAAGUUAAAAGUGAAAUCCCGAGGCUUAACCUUGGAAUUGCUUUUAAAACUAUUAAUCUAGAGAUUGAAAGAGGAUAGAGGAAUUCCUGAUGUAGAGGUAAAAUUCGUAAAUAUUAGGAGGAACACCAGUGGCGAAGGCGUCUAUCUGGUUCAAAUCUGACGCUGAAGCGCGAAGGCGUGGGGAGCAAACAGGAUUAGAUACCCUGGUAGUCCACGCUGUAAACGAUGAAUGUUAAAUAUGGGAAGUUUACAUUUUUUUCCCCC